UUUCCGUAGGUGAACCUGCGGAAGGAUCAUUCAUAAUAAAGUGUCUUAUGGCACUUUUUAAAAAUCCAUAUCCACCUUGUGUGCAAUGUUAGAUCUCGUCAAUCUUGGCGAGAUUUUUAUACAUCAACUCAUUCUUUAACUAAUUUGUCUGAAAAAUAUUAUGAAUACUUAAUUCAAAAUACAACUCUCAACAACGGAUCUCUUGGCUCUC
Molecule: unclassified non-coding RNA, 211 nt
Filed under: plant metagenome
Description: partial contains small subunit ribosomal RNA, internal transcribed spacer 1, and 5.8S ribosomal RNA
Source: RNAcentral